RNAcentral lists this unclassified non-coding RNA (395 nucleotides) under soil metagenome. RNAcentral describes it as "partial contains 5.8S ribosomal RNA, internal transcribed spacer 2, and large subunit ribosomal RNA". The stretch from base 1 to 122 matches the Rfam family "5.8S ribosomal RNA", at positions 35 to 154 of the family's 154-position model. The record is from RNAcentral.
GAUGAAGAACGCAGCGAAAUGCGAUACUUGGUGUGAAUUGCAGAAUCCCGUGAACCAUCGAGUCUUUGAACGCAAGUUGCGCCCGAAGCCAUCAGGUUGAGGGCACGUCUGCCUGGGCGUCACAUAUCGUUGCCCAAUGCCUAUUGCAGUGCAAUAGGAAUUUCUAGGGCGAAUGAUGGCUUCCCGUGAGCGUUGUUGCCUCGCGGUUGGUUGAAAAUCGAGUCCUUGGUAGGGUGUGCCAUGGUAGAUGGUGGUCGAGUUAGAACGAUACCGAUCAUGUGCAUGCUCCCCAAAAUAUGGCCUCUAUGUCCCACACGCGUCUUUUGACGCUCAUGACGAGACCUCAGGUCAGGCGGGGCUACCCGCUGAAUUUAAGCAUAUCAAUAAGCGGAGGA